GAGAAACUUACUGAUGAAGACCUGGAUCCAGAGGAACCUGGUGCUGUUUUUGAGGAACUUAUUAUUGAAGAACCGAUUCUUGAGAAACCUGGUGUAAUUGUUAUUACAGAACUUUCUGAUGAAAAACCAGGUCCUGGGGAACCUGGUACUGUUGUCAUAGAAGAACUUACACAUGAAGAACCUGUUGUUGUUAUUGCAGAACUUACUGAUGAAGAACCGGUUUCAGAGGAACCUGGUACUGUUAUUGAAGAACGUACAAAUGAAGAACCAGGUGUUGUUGAGGAACUUACUAAUGAAGAACUGACUCCUGGUGAACCUGGUGAUAUUGGUAUUAAUGAACUUACACAUGAUGAACCAGUUAUUAUUGCUAAUGAAGAACCAUCUCCAGAGGAACCUGGUGCUGUUGUUAUUGAAGAAUGGACAAAUGAAGAACCAGUUGUUGUUGAGGAACUUACUGAUGAAGAACCGGCUCCAGAGGAACCUGGUGCUAUUAUUAUUCCAGAAUUUACUGAUGAAGAACCGGCUCCAGAAGAACCUGGUGCUGUUGAUGAACUGACAAAUGAGGACUCUGCUCUUGAAGAACCUACUGUUCUUGUUCUUGAUACUCAAAAACCUUUAAACACACCAAAUGAAAUGGCUUUUGAUGUUUUUGAGGAAGCAACAAAUGAAGCACCAAAAGAAUUGCCUCCUUUCGAUCCUGUGGACGAAUCAGAGAACGACGUACCAAAAGGCCAUAAUGCUCAGGAUGGAUUAUUUGAGGAGAUUGACAGAUCUAUAGGAACCAUAGCUCUAGAGGAAUCUGUUUACAAUUUUGCUCCACACAUCACUUAUAAAGAGAUGGUUCCUGUAGCUGUGAAGCAAAAAGCUGCUGCUGCUGCUGCUGCUGCACCAAAGAAUGACAACCCUGUUGUCCCAGUGAGAAGGGGAGCAGUUCUCGGAGUAGUAUUCUUCACCCUCGUGUGUUUCAUCGUCACUGGGUUUGUUGGCACAACAGUAUCCAAAAAACUGAGGUGAAGACAUGACGUGAGUUGCCAUAAGCUCAUAAAACCACUUGAUCCAAACUUUUCUUGAUCAGGUCUAGCUUUAACUUUUCUAUUUUCUUUCUUUUUAAAGAGUAACUAAACCCCUGCUUUCUCCUGACCUGCCGCUAGGAGGGAAAUUCAAAACAUGCCUUGAUUAUGGGCGGGGCUCCUGGAGGAAUUGGGACACGCCCAGUCUAAACUAUAAAAUCGC
This 1233-nucleotide long non-coding RNA is filed under the name Gouania willdenowi (blunt-snouted clingfish). RNAcentral's name for it is "lncRNA (ENSGWIG00000022758.1)". Lineage: Eukaryota; Metazoa; Chordata; Actinopteri; Blenniiformes; Gobiesocidae. The record is from RNAcentral.